ACGAACGCUGGCGGCGUGCUUAACACCUGCACGUCGAACGGAAAGGCCCUGCUUUUGUGGGGUGCUCGAGUGGCGAACGGGUGAGUAACACGUGAGUAACCUGCCCUUGACUUUGGGAUAACUUCAGGAAACUGGGGCUAAUACCGGAUAGGAGCUCCUGCUGCAUGGUGGGGGUUGGAAAGUUUCGGCGGUUGGGGAUGGACUCGCGGCUUAUCAGCUUGUUGGUGGGGUAGUGGCUUACCAAGGCUUUGACGGGUAGCCGGCCUGAGAGGGUGACCGGCCACAUUGGGACUGAGAUACGGCCCAGACUCCUACGGGAGGCAGCAGUGGGGAAUAUUGCACAAUGGGCGGAAGCCUGAUGCAGCAACGCCGCGUGCGGGAUGACGGCCUUCGGGUUGUAAACCGCUUUCGCCUGUGACGAAGCGUGAGUGACGGUAAUGGGUAAAGAAGCACCGGCUAACUACGUG
RNAcentral lists this ribosomal RNA (467 nucleotides) under uncultured bacterium. RNAcentral describes it as "partial 16S ribosomal RNA". It matches the Rfam family "Bacterial small subunit ribosomal RNA", at positions 29 to 507 of the family's 1533-position model. The record is from RNAcentral.